Molecule: long non-coding RNA, 2115 nt
Organism: Pan troglodytes (chimpanzee)
Lineage: Eukaryota; Metazoa; Chordata; Mammalia; Primates; Hominidae
Exons: 3
Source: RefSeq, a predicted model, not a curated record
AGAAUUGCCACCCAAGUAGAUUCUGUUGGAGAUGGGAGGAGAAAGGGAGGAAAGGGAGUAGAGAAGGCCACACACAAUCUUAAAUUCAAUAUUUCACUCCCGUUAAAGAUAAGCUGUUUAUAAGCUCCAGUGUAGGGCAUGUAAUUCUAUGUAAAAACUCUGUGGUUCCUCUUCCCACAUGUAAAUCAUGAUCACUCUACAUUCUGCUCUCUGGGAGCCCUCAAGGCAAAGAGACAACAAGCCUCGAGAUAUAGUAAUAAAAGUCUGGGUAUUAUAAAAUCCACCCUGAGCUCCAAGAAAAGAAUAGAAAGAAGGAAGCUCUGAAAAGUACUAAUUUACCAAAGUACAAUGCAGUUUUGUAAAUUUUUAUUAACAUCCUCGGAAAUCCAAAUGCCCAUCUUGAUAGCUGAGGGUUUUUUUCCUCAAUUAUGGCUAUAUAUGCUUUAAAGAUAAACUAUGAAUUCUCUUUAAACUAAGUGCCUUGAUAAAAUAAUGAGUAUUAAAUACAUUUCAGACCACAGAAAGGACUUAUCACAAGUCUUUGUGGUAGCUGAGGAGUGCCCCCUACAGACUGAUAUGCACAAUGCAAGCAGAUGAAGAGGAAAGAACUGAGCAGCAGUAUUUCAGGAUUCUCAAUAAGGCAUCAAUGAAAAAAGUUACAACAUCAUAGAUCCUCUUUCAAUGAUGUGCACAAGUAGAUUUUAUUUUGGCAAUGCUGCUAUUGCUGUGUAAAAGUGCCUUCACCUAAACCCUCUCACAAUGAAGCCAGCCACAGAACCACUUAACAUCUGUGAUUUACGGUUUACAAGGCACUUCCAUGACAUCAUCUCACUCUUCAGGACAGUAUGUGAUACCAUGUGUUACCUCAUAGCACAUGCUACAAAUUAUCACCAUGUUGGGAAACUUUGGCUUAGAGAUACUCUUGAAGAUUGGGCCCAGACCUUGAGCCCAAGUUGUGUGAUUCUAGGUCCAUUUAACCACAUCCCUUACCUGAUUGUGGUAAACGCACCGAGUUCCCCUUCCUCCAAGCUCCAGGCUCCACGUUCACAAGGUCUGUCACUGUGUCACCAUCUUUUGUGACACUGCUUGUGCAGAUGAAAUAAAAUGUCCAAUUUCUGAGGCUGCUGUUAAACCUCAAAAAACAGGCUGCUUCAAUGGAUAAGAUUUUGAUUACCACACUUUUUCUGGGCAGAGACUUAAGCUAAUCAUUCAAAUGGGGCUAAAAUACUCUGUUUUAGCCAAUCCAUCAAUUCUCAGUAGGAAAUGUUAGGUUGCUGGCUUAAAAUAUUAAAUAUGACAAGAUUCCAUUAACAUGGAUUUCUUUGUUGGAUAUUCACAGAAGAGUUUCCAUGUGAGAAAGAAUUCUGCUGACAUAUGUCGAUAUUCGCUUCCACUGCUAAUGAGGGGUCCCCUUGGUCUCCAAGUUUCUUAGUCUCUGUCUCUCUCCAGCACCACCAAACUCCUCUUAACAUCUUGGAAAAUGGGUACCGAAGUAAUGGAGUCAGUUAUCAACUGACAGCUCUGAGAUAUGACUAGAGAUGAUCAAACAUUAUUUGGAAUCUUCUCUGAAACAUACAUGGAAAAGUGGAAAUUGUUCUUUGUAGCUGAUAAGAACUCAUGAAGUGAUGUAGAAUAGAACCAGAGAAGGCACCUUAGAGUUCAAUUGUCCAACAAGCUCAUUUUCAGCUGAGAAAACUGAGCCUCAGAGAAGAGAACCUUUAAUAUAAAUCAUGGUCAUUGCAAAUACAUUAAAAAUGAUGAAAAUCUCUCCUGUCCAUUUACCUUCUGCAGAUUAUCUUUCAUUCCAAUGCAGCAAGUGCCAUUUUCUCUGGAUUUUUUUCCUUCUGUUGCUGACUCGUCUUUCUCAGUGCUGUAAACUUCUUGUUGACUCCUCGCUGAAAUGAAUUAUUUGUGUUUAUUUAACAUUCAGUCUGCACUUUUUUCCUCAUGUUAAAUAUGUGGACUCUGGGACUACCUGGAUUUGAAUCCUACUUUUAUCAGAUGUUGGAUAAGAGACUUAAUCUCUCUGGCCUGCAUUUCCUCAUCUUUAACAUAAUGAUAAAGUUGUAGCUACAUAAUAGAUGUUAGAAGAGAAUAAAAUGAGAUUAUAGAUGU